AGAACGAACGCUGGCGGCAUGCCUAACACAUGCAAGUCGAACGAGACCUUCGGGUCUAGUGGCGCACGGGUGCGUAACGCGCGGGAAUCUGCCCUUGGGUUCGGAAUAACAGUUGGAAACGACUGCUAAUACCGGAUGAUGACGUAAGUCCAAAGAUUUAUCGCCCAGGGAUGAGCCCGCGUAGGAUUAGCUAGUUGGUGAGGUAAAGGCUCACCAAGGCGACGAU
This 226-nucleotide ribosomal RNA is filed under the name uncultured soil bacterium. RNAcentral's name for it is "partial 16S ribosomal RNA". It matches the Rfam family "Bacterial small subunit ribosomal RNA", at positions 26 to 280 of the family's 1533-position model. The record is from RNAcentral.